UGAACAUUUGAUGGAGCUAAGGAACUUAAUCUCAACUAGAACAAGUGUCCAUAUUAGGUAGCACCUAAUUUGGGUCUUUGCUUUCCUAUGGCCUUUUUCCUAUUCUGGAAACAGUUUCUAUCUAUUAGCAUAGGUUGACAUCAAUGUAAGAAGCAGCAUGAAAUUGGGACAUUUUGUAGCUUUAUUAUUAUUGUUCAAUCUGUUUUGACUAGGCCAAUGUAAAUUUGUAUUUUGAAAAUUAUGUAAGAACUCUUUAUGCUGUAUAAAUUUUUCC
This 274-nucleotide unclassified non-coding RNA is filed under the name Hevea brasiliensis (rubber tree). The record is from RNAcentral. Lineage: Eukaryota; Viridiplantae; Streptophyta; Magnoliopsida; Malpighiales; Euphorbiaceae.